RNAcentral lists this ribosomal RNA (484 nucleotides) under uncultured bacterium. RNAcentral describes it as "partial 16S ribosomal RNA". It matches the Rfam family "Bacterial small subunit ribosomal RNA", at positions 30 to 507 of the family's 1533-position model. The record is from RNAcentral.
AUUGAACGCUGGCGGCAGGCCUAACACAUGCCAGUCGAGCGGAUGAAGGGAGCUUGCUCCUGGAUUCAGCGGCGGACGGGUGAGUAAUGCCUAGGAAUCUGCCUGGUAGUGGGGGAUAACGUCCGGAAACGGGCGCUAAUACCGCAUACGUCCUGAGGGAGAAAGUGGGGGAUCUUCGGACCUCACGCUAUCAGAUGAGCCUAGGUCGGAUUAGCUAGUUGGUGGGGUAAAGGCCUACCAAGGCGACGAUCCGUAACUGGUCUGAGAGGAUGGUCAGUCACACUGGAACUGAGACACGGUCCAGACUCCUACGGGAGGCAGCAGUGGGGAAUAUUGGACAAUGGGCGAAAGCCUGAUCCAGCCAUGCCGCGUGUGUGAAGAAGGUCUUCGGAUUGUAAAGCACUUUAAGUUGGGAGGAAGGGCAGUAAGUUAAUACCUUGCUGUUUUGACGUUACCAACAGAAUAAGCACCGGCUAACUUCGUG